CGAGUUUGAUCCUGGCUCAGGAUGAACGCUAGCGGCAGGCUUAAUACAUGCAAGUCAAGGGGGUAGCAAUACAACCGGCGCACGGGUGAGUAACGCGUACACAACAUACCAUAUACUGGAGUAUAGCUUUGGGAAACUGAAGGUAAUCCUCCAUAACAUUGCGAGAGGGCAUCUGAUUGCAAUUAAAGUUUCGGCGGUAUAUGAUUGGUGUGCGUUUGAUUAGCUAGUUGGUAGGGUAACGGCCUACCAAGGCGACGAUCAAUAGCUGGCGUGAGAGCGCGACCAGCCACACUGGAACUGAGACACGGUCCAGACUCCUACGGGAGGCAGCAGUAGGGAAUAUUGGACAAUGGAGGAAACUCUGAUCCAGCCAUGCCGCGUGAUAGAUGAAGGCCCUCUGGGUUGUAAAUNUCUUUUAUCUGGGAAGAAACACUCCUAUUCUUAGGAACUUGACGGUACCAGAGGAAUAAGCACCGGCUAACUCCGUG
RNAcentral lists this ribosomal RNA (488 nucleotides) under uncultured bacterium. RNAcentral's name for it is "bacterial SSU rRNA". It matches the Rfam family "Bacterial small subunit ribosomal RNA", at positions 9 to 507 of the family's 1533-position model. The record is from RNAcentral.